GAUUUCUGGCUUGAAACAUUUUGCCGGCCACGGUUUCGUGUGUUAGUGCUUGAUGUUCUGGCCAUCCUUCCAAUCGCUAUUGGUUACUCUUCAUUGAGUGGUCAGUAGUAUUGGAUCUUUUACUUUGAAAAAAUUAGAGUGUUUCAAGCAGGCUUUAUGCUAUGAAUACAUUAGCAUGGAAUAAUAAUUUAGGACUUUGGCCCUAUUUUGUUGGUUUCUAGGACUGAAGUAAUGAUUGAUAGGGAUAGUUGGGGGUGCUCGAAUUCAGCGGCCAGAGGUGAAAUUCUUGGAUUCGCUGAAGACGAACUCAUGCGAAAGCAUU
This 322-nucleotide ribosomal RNA is filed under the name Sandona sp. RNAcentral's name for it is "SSU rRNA". The stretch from base 110 to 322 matches the Rfam family "Eukaryotic small subunit ribosomal RNA", at positions 742 to 955 of the family's 1831-position model. Lineage: Eukaryota; Cercozoa; Glissomonadida; Sandonidae. The record is from RNAcentral.